This 112-nucleotide non-coding RNA is filed under the name Clostridium acidisoli. Its description in RNAcentral is "SAM-I sequence". It matches the Rfam family "SAM riboswitch aptamer (S box leader)". From Rfam's summary of the family: The SAM riboswitch is found upstream of a number of genes which code for proteins involved in methionine or cysteine biosynthesis in Gram-positive bacteria. Lineage: Bacteria; Bacillati; Bacillota; Clostridia; Eubacteriales; Clostridiaceae. RNAcentral also lists the same sequence under 1 other name. The record is from RNAcentral.
UUCUUAUCUAGAGAAACGGAGGGAUUGGCCCUAUGAAGUUUCAGCAACCAGUAUGUUUCAUUUGCAUACAUGGUGCUAAGUCCAACAGGUAUAUUUACCUGAAAGAUAAGGC